AACUUAACAUUCUGCAUGGAAAAAACAGGAGUUUAAACUUCAAACUUUGUCUUUGCACUCACAUGGUGAGUUCCGUUCUCAUGUUUUUGGCUGGUUUAUUUCAGAGAAUAGCCUGCUGCAAGACCCAGAAUCAAUGGCCCAAAUUUGCACCGUUUGGUUCUUACGAUGAAAGACUGAUGCACAGGCAAGUUCGACAAUUUGCUCAAGGUCACAUACCAAGAUAGCAGCAAAGAUAAAAACAGAAGAAAACCUCUGGAUUGAUGGCAUGUUCCCGGUCUGUUUGAAUCUUGCUUUAAUCACAUCCAUGAAAUACACACUACUGGUGACAUAGAAUGCAUCUCAAGUGUUUUGUUAACUUCAAGUUGUUUAGAGCAGAAAAGAAUUUGCAUCAUUUUCCUGACAUUUCUCCAUAAUCCAUGGAUUUCUCCAUCCUGGAACCUGUCCGAAAUAAAAUUAGCUUCUCAUUCUCUGGAUUUUCUGUGGAGAAUCAACAGAAAAUGUAGGGACUGGAAUAAAAAGCAUGAUUAGGGGAGGUCCAUAAUGAC
Molecule: long non-coding RNA, 545 nt
Organism: Dromaius novaehollandiae (emu)
Lineage: Eukaryota; Metazoa; Chordata; Aves; Casuariiformes; Dromaiidae
Exons: 3
Source: RefSeq, a predicted model, not a curated record